Molecule: ribosomal RNA, 468 nt
Filed under: uncultured bacterium
Lineage: Bacteria
Description: partial 16S ribosomal RNA
Rfam family: Bacterial small subunit ribosomal RNA
Source: RNAcentral
GACGAACGCUGGCGGCGUGCUUAACACAUGCAAGUCGAACGGAAAGGCCCUGCUUUUGUGGGGUGCUCGAGUGGCGAACGGGUGAGUAACACGUGAGUAACCUGCCCUUGACUUUGGGAUAACUUCAGGAAACUGGGGCUAAUACCGGAUAGGAGCUCCUGCUGCAUGGUGGGGGUUGGAAAGUUUCGGCGGUUGGGGAUGGACUCGCGGCUUAUCAGCUUGUUGGUGGGGUAGUGGCUUACCAAGGCUUUGACGGGUAGCCGGCCUGUUAGGGUGACCGGCCACAUUGGGACCGAGAUACGGCCCAGACUCCUACGGGAGGCAGCAGUGGGGAAUAUUGCACAAUGGGCGGAAGCCUGAUGCAGCAACGCCGCGUGCGGGAUGACGGCCUUCGGGUUGUAAACCGCUUUCGCCUGUGACGAAGCGUGAGUGACGGUAAUGGGUAAAGAAGCACCGGCUAACUACGUG